UACGAAGGGUGCAAGCGUUACUCGGAAUUACUGGGCGUAAAGCGUGCGUAGGUGGUUCGUUAAGUCUGAUGUGAAAGCCCCGGGCUCAACCUGGGAAUUGGAUUGGAUACUGGCGGGCUAGAGUACGGUAGAGGGUGGCGGAAUUCCUGGUGUAGCAGUGAAAUGCGUAGAGAUCAGGAGGAACAUCCGUGGCGAAGGCGGCCACCUGGACCAGUACUGACACUGAGGCACGAAAGCGUGGGGAGCAAACAGGAUUAUAUACCCUGGUAGU
RNAcentral lists this ribosomal RNA (271 nucleotides) under uncultured prokaryote. Its description in RNAcentral is "partial 16S ribosomal RNA". It matches the Rfam family "Bacterial small subunit ribosomal RNA", at positions 524 to 794 of the family's 1533-position model. The record is from RNAcentral.